This 903-nucleotide small RNA is filed under the name Pongo abelii (Sumatran orangutan). RNAcentral describes it as "processed transcript". The record is from RNAcentral. Lineage: Eukaryota; Metazoa; Chordata; Mammalia; Primates; Hominidae.
AUUUAUAUAGUUACAAACAACAUACUUUUUGCUCCUGAGAAGAUGGUAAACUGAUCAACUAUACAUAAGCAGCUUGGUUAGAAAAAGUGUCCUUAACAAGGCUUGCACAGAAAUCUGGAGGCAGUAUCACCUAACGACCAAACCUGGACCACCCAAAAAGCCGAAGACCCCUUCAAGACCAUCAGCCUUAGCAUAUUGCUAUCACUGCGCGCAAAAAGGCCAUUAUGGACACGAAUGUCCAGAAAGAGAAGUGUAUGACCCGUCUCCAGUAUCUCCAUUCAUCUGCUACUAUGAUGACAAAUAUGAAAUUCAGGAGAGAGAAAAGAGACUAAAACAAAAAAUAAAAGUACUCAAGAAAAAUGGGGUUAUCCCAGAGCCAUCCAAGCUACCUUAUAUAAAAGCAGCAAAUGAGAACCCCCACCAUGAUAUAAGGAAGGGCCGUACCUCGUGGAAAAGCAACAGGUGGCCUCAAGAAAAUAAAGAAACACAAAAAGAAAUGAAGAACAAGAAUAGAAACUGGGAGAAGCACAGGAAGGCUGACAGACAUCGUGAAGUGGAUGAGGAUUUUCCCAGGGGCCCCAAAACCUACUCUUCUCCUGGCAGUUUUAAAACCCAGAAGCCUUCUAAGCCCUUUCACCGUUCAUCACAUUACCACACGUCAAGAGAAGACAAGUCUCCCAAGGAGGGCAAGAGGGGCAAGCAGAAGAAAAAGGAGAGGUGCUUGGAAGAUGAUGACAAUGAUAACUUAUUUCUUAUUAAGCAGAGAAAAAAAAAGUCUUAAGCCGUCAGGCAGCCUCUGAUGUGGCUUUUCAUUAUUCAUUUGGCCUUUGUGUCUAUAACCUUCUGGCAUUGUGUUUAUUAUCUAUGAUUAAAUAAAGUGAGUUUUUGGUUUUGUUUUUUUAA